RNAcentral lists this ribosomal RNA (641 nucleotides) under Streptomyces sp. I12A-02594. Its description in RNAcentral is "bacterial SSU rRNA". It matches the Rfam family "Bacterial small subunit ribosomal RNA", at positions 94 to 746 of the family's 1533-position model. The record is from RNAcentral. Lineage: Bacteria; Bacillati; Actinomycetota; Actinomycetes; Kitasatosporales; Streptomycetaceae.
AGUGGCGAACGGGUGAGUAACACGUGGGCAAUCUGCCCUUCACUCUGGGACAAGCCCUGGAAACGGGGUCUAAUACCGGAUAAUACUUCCACUCUCCUGGGUGGAGGUUGAAAGCUCCGGCGGUGAAGGAUGAGCCCGCGGCCUAUCAGCUUGUUGGUGAGGUAAUGGCUCACCAAGGCGACGACGGGUAGCCGGCCUGAGAGGGCGACCGGCCACACUGGGACUGAGACACGGCCCAGACUCCUACGGGAGGCAGCAGUGGGGAAUAUUGCACAAUGGGCGCAAGCCUGAUGCAGCGACGCCGCGUGGGGGAUGACGGCCUUCGGGUUGUAAACCCCUUUCAGCAGGGAAGAAGCUUCACGGUGACGGUACCUGCAGAAGAAGCGCCGGCUAACUACGUGCCAGCAGCCGCGGUAAUACGUAGGGCGCAAGCGUUGUCCGGAAUUAUUGGGCGUAAAGAGCUCGUAGGCGGCUUGUCGCGUCGGUUGUGAAAGCCCGGGGCUUAACCCCGGGUCUGCAGUCGAUACGGGCAGGCUAGAGUUCGGUAGGGGAGAUCGGAAUUCCUGGUGUAGCGGUGAAAUGCGCAGAUAUCAGGAGGAACACCGGUGGCGAAGGCGGAUCUCCUGGGCCGAUACUGACGC